Molecule: unclassified non-coding RNA, 520 nt
Filed under: uncultured Glomus
Lineage: Eukaryota; Fungi; Glomeromycota; Glomeromycetes; Glomerales; Glomeraceae
Description: SSU rRNA
Rfam family: Eukaryotic small subunit ribosomal RNA
Source: RNAcentral
AGCAGCCGCGGUAAUUCCAGCUCCAAUAGCGCAUAUUAAAGUUGUUGCAGUUAAAAAGCUCGUAGUUGAAUUUCGGGAUCAAUAUGUCGGUCGUGCCUCGGUACGUGCUGGCAUUAUUGGUUUCUCCCUUCUGACGAACCAUGAUGUCAUUAAUUUGGUGUCUUGGGGAAUCAGGACUGUUACUUUGAAAAAAUUAGAGUGUUUAAAGCAGGCUCACACUUGAAUACAUUAGCAUGGAAUAAUGAAAUAGGACGUUUGAUUCUAUUUUGUUGGUUUCUAGGAUCGACGUAAUGAUUAAUAGGGAUAGUUGGGGGCAUUAGUAUUCAAUUGUCAGAGGUGAAAUUCUUGGAUUUAUUGAAGACUAACUACUGCGAAAGCAUUUGCCAAGGAUGUUUUCAUUAAUCAAGAACGAAAGUUAGGGGAUCGAAGACGAUCAGAUACCGUCGUAGUCUUAACCAUAAACUAUGCCGACUAGGGAUCGGAUGAUGUUAAUUUUUUAAUGACUCAUUCGGCGCCUUAC